AACGUAGGAGGCGAGCGUUAUCCGGAGUUACUGGGCGUAAAGCGUGCGUAGGCGGCGCGGUAAGUGAGGCGUGAAAGCCCCCUGCUAAACGGGGGGAGGACGCUUGAGACUGCCGGGCUAGAAUGAGAUAGAGGCGUGUGGAAUUCCGGGUGUAGCGGUGAAAUGUGCAGAGAUCCGGAGGAACACCAGAGGUGAAAACGGCGCGCUGGGUCUACAUUGACGCUGAGGCACGAAAGCUUGGGGAGCGAACGGG
This 253-nucleotide ribosomal RNA is filed under the name uncultured bacterium. RNAcentral's name for it is "partial 16S ribosomal RNA". It matches the Rfam family "Bacterial small subunit ribosomal RNA", at positions 524 to 776 of the family's 1533-position model. The record is from RNAcentral.